RNAcentral lists this ribosomal RNA (257 nucleotides) under uncultured Glomeromycotina. RNAcentral's name for it is "partial 18S ribosomal RNA". It matches the Rfam family "Eukaryotic small subunit ribosomal RNA", at positions 624 to 886 of the family's 1831-position model. Lineage: Eukaryota; Fungi; Glomeromycota. The record is from RNAcentral.
AAGCUCGUAGUUGAAUUUCGGGGUUCUACCGUCGGUCGGGCUACCAAGUCUGUACUGGUGUGUAGAAUUUCUACCUUCUGGAGAACCAUCAUGUUAUUAAUUUAGUGUGGUGGGAAACCAGGACCUUUACCUUGAAAAAAUUAGAGUGUUCAAAGCAGGCUUAUGUCUGAAUACAUUAGCAUGGAAUAAUAGUAUAGGACGGUGGUCCUGUUUUGUUGGUUUCUGAAUCACCGUAAUGAUUAAUAGGGAUAGUUGGG